CAAGCAUAUCAAUAAGCGGAGGAAAAGAAACCAACAGGGAUUGCCCUAGUAACGGCGAGUGAAGCGGCAACAGCUCAAAUUUGAAAUCUGGCUCUCGGGCCCGAGUUGUAAUUUGUAGAGGAUGCUUUUGGUGAGGUGCCUUCCGAGUUCCCUGGAACGGGACGCCAUAGAGGGUGAGAGCCCCGUCUGGUUGGACACCGAUCCUCUGUAAAGCUCCUUCGACGAGUCGAGUAGUUUGGGAAUGCUGCUCUAAAUGGGAGGUAUAUGUCUUCUAAAGCUAAAUAUUGGCCAGAGACCGAUAGCGCACAAGUAGAGUGAUCGAAAGAUGAAAAGCACUUUGAAAAGAGAGUUAAAAAGUACGUGAAAUUGUUGAAAGGGAAGCGCUUGUGACCAGACUUGGGCUUGGUUGAUCAUCCAGGGUUCUCCCUGGUGCACUCUUCCAGCCCAGGCCAGCAUCAGUUUGCUUCGGGGGAUAAAGGCGUCGGGAAUGUGGCACCCUCCGGGGUGUGUUAUAGCCCGUCGUGUAAUACCCUGGGGCAGACUGAGGUUCGCGCAUCUGCAAGGAUGCUGGCGUAAUGGUCAUCAGCGACCCGUCUUGAAACACGGACCAAGGAGUCGUCUUCGUAUGCGAGUGUUCGGGUGUCAAACCCCUACGCGUAAUGAAAGUGAACGCAGGUGAGAGCUUCGGCGCAUCAUCGACCGAUCCUGAUGUUCUCGGAUGGAUUUGAGUAAGAGCAUACGGGGCCGGACCCGAAAGAAGGUGAACUAUGCCUGUAUAGGGUGAAGCCAGAGGAAACUCUGGUGGAGGCUCGCAGCGGUUCUGACGUGCAAAUCGAUCGUCAAAUAUGGGCAUGGGGGCGAAAGACUAAUCGAACCUUCUAGUAGCUGGUUUCC
RNAcentral lists this ribosomal RNA (894 nucleotides) under Fusarium cicatricum. RNAcentral's name for it is "LSU rRNA". It matches the Rfam family "Eukaryotic large subunit ribosomal RNA", at positions 35 to 959 of the family's 3401-position model. The record is from RNAcentral. Lineage: Eukaryota; Fungi; Ascomycota; Sordariomycetes; Hypocreales; Nectriaceae.